UGGGGAAUUUUGGACAAUGGGCGAAAGCCUGAUCCAGCAAUGCCGCGUGUGUGAAGAAGGCCUUCGGGUUGUAAAGCACUUUUGUCCGGAAAGAAAUCCUCUGGGUUAAUACCUCGGGGGGAUGACGGUACCGGAAGAAUAAGCACCGGCUAACUACGUGCCAGCAGCCGCGGUAAUACGUAGGGUGCAAGCGUUAAUCGGAAUUACUGGGCGUAAAGCGUGCGCAGGCGGUUUUGUAAGACGGAUGUGAAAUCCCCGGGCUUAACCUGGGAACUGCAUUCGUGACUGCAAGGCUAGAGUAUGGCAGAGGGGGGUAGAAUUCCACGUGUAGCAGUGAAAUGCGUAGAGAUGUGGAGGAAUACCGAUGGCGAAGGCAGCCCCCUGGGCCAAUACUGACGCUCAUGCACGAAAGCGUGGGGAGCAAACAGGAUUAGAUACCCUGGUAGUCCACGCCCUAAACGAUGUCAACUAGUUGUUGGGGAUUCAUUUCCUUAGUAACGUAGCU
Molecule: ribosomal RNA, 505 nt
Filed under: uncultured bacterium
Lineage: Bacteria
Description: partial 16S ribosomal RNA
Rfam family: Bacterial small subunit ribosomal RNA
Source: RNAcentral